RNAcentral lists this long non-coding RNA (569 nucleotides) under Coturnix japonica (Japanese quail). RNAcentral describes it as "lncRNA (ENSCJPG00005012398.1)". Lineage: Eukaryota; Metazoa; Chordata; Aves; Galliformes; Phasianidae. The record is from RNAcentral.
GAGAAGGGAGGAGACCCUAUAUAAGGGCUGCAUUGAGGGGGGCAGCUUGUGCACCUGAGGCAGCAGUGUGGGACAGUAAGGAUGUGGGAGCAGGACCACGUGGCUGUGGGAUGGACUGUUCAAGAUGCUCUUGCAGAGGAAUGAGCUCCAGCUCUGAGGACAAGAGAGACCGGCAGUGGUAGCUGAAGCCAUGAAGUGACUUGGCUGGAUGUCUCCACCAGUGAUGUGACUGUGCUUAGCAAGAAAGAAGCGGUGCUGGGCAGCUCUGAGAGGUUUCUGAGAAGAGCCAGCAGUGAAACCUGGAGCCUGUUGCGUCUAAUCAAGUCAUGAUGGAAAGAGGAAUGUUCUGCAGGUGCCAGAGCUCCAUGAUUUCCAUCAGAAGCUUGUCAUUCCGUGCAGUAGAGGUUCUGUCAUGUGAUAUUACUCCACGCAGAGGGAAGCCAGAGCAGCUUUACACCACUGGUAAGCAGUCAGAGGAUUUGCUUUGGUCAUAAAUGCAGUUUCACAUCGUGCAUCUCUCCUCUCUCUCUCCCAUGUUGAACAUGGCAUUUCAACAGCUGAAAAUUCAG